CAUUCCCUUUGGGCCUGUCAUUACCUCUGCCUCACCUUGACUCUCCCCAGGGCCCCGUGAUCAAGGUGAACAGCAAGCAACGCUAUGCUUCAAACGCGGUGUCAGAGGCCCUGAUCCGAGAGGUGGCCAACAAAGUCAAGGUCCCCCUGCAGGAUCUCAUGGUCCGGAAUGACACCCCCUGUGGAACCACCAUUGGACCUAUCUUGGCUUCUCGGCUGGGGCUGCGGGUGCUGGAUUUAGGCAGCCCCCAA
Molecule: non-coding RNA, 251 nt
Filed under: Pan troglodytes (chimpanzee)
Lineage: Eukaryota; Metazoa; Chordata; Mammalia; Primates; Hominidae
Also listed under: 1 other name
Source: RNAcentral